This 345-nucleotide ribosomal RNA is filed under the name uncultured Sphingomonas sp. RNAcentral describes it as "bacterial SSU rRNA". It matches the Rfam family "Bacterial small subunit ribosomal RNA", at positions 120 to 499 of the family's 1533-position model. Lineage: Bacteria; Pseudomonadati; Pseudomonadota; Alphaproteobacteria; Sphingomonadales; Sphingomonadaceae. The record is from RNAcentral.
GGGAAUCUGCCCCUUGGUUCGGAAUAACAGUUGGAAACGACUGCUAAUACCGGAUGAUGACGUAAGUCCAAAGAUUUAUCGCCGAGGGAUGAGCCCGCGUAGGAUUAGGUAGUUGGUGUGGUAAAGACGCACCAAGCCGACGAUCCUUAGCUGGUCUGAGAGGAUGAUCAGCCACACUGGGACUGAGACACGGCCCAGACUCCUACGGGAGGCAGCAGUGGGGAAUAUUGGACAAUGGGCGAAAGCCUGAUCCAGCAAUGCCGCGUGAGUGAUGAAGGCCUUAGGGUUGUAAAGCUCUUUUACCCGGGAUGAUAAUGACAGUACCGGGAGAAUAAGCUCCGGCUA